GGCGCGCCUUUACGUCAGACGGCAGUACGGCGCUUCCUAUUGGCUACCCCCGCGCCCGUACGGCGGAAGCGCUGCUGGGCGCCGCCAUCACGGGCUGCCGGUGAUGGCGCUGCCGGUGGAAGAGUGGCGGCUGUGCGCCGCCCGGCGCUGGGCCGCGCUGGAGCCGGCGCUGCGGGAGCGGUUGGCGGUGGCGUCGCUGCAGGACACGCUGCUUCUGGGCUGCGGCCUCCUCCGGCCUGAGGCGGAGGCGGCGGUUCUGCGGGGGUUGUGCCGCCGGGCGCCCGCGGGUAAGGAGCCGGCGGCCGCUCGCUUCUACCGGGAGGAGGGAAACCGGCGGUUCGGCCGCCGCCAGUACGGUGCCGCCGUGAGGCUCUACUCGCAGGCAGCGUCCCACGAGCUCCCUGGCAGCCCCGAGGUGUCCCUCUGCUUCGCCAACCGCUCCGCCGCCCUCUUCCACCUCGGGCACUUUGAGGUUUGUUUGGAAGAUAUUGCCAGGGCUGAAAGUCAUGGCUAUCCAGACAGGCUGCUGCCCAAGGUCUUGCUUCGGAAGGCUGAAUGUCUGCUGUGUUUGGGGAGGUUACAGGAGGCAGCAAACGCCCUCAGCGCGGUGGAGAAUAAAAUUGCUGUGGAUGGGAUCAUGACUAACCCCGCCCACCAGACACUGCUAAAAAAGUUAAGUCAACUGAAGAUUAAAAUACACGAGAAAGAGAGCUGCCCACAGCCUGCACGAGAAGCACGUGGUGACAUUCAGAGAGAUUCAGAGUUCUGGGAAGAGAAUGACAGUAUUUCGGGUGCAUCUUCGUCUUUGAGCUUAAAUUUUGAUAUGGAGAGAGGACGUCACUUGGUGGCCAGCCAGGACAUCCAGCCAGGACAGAACCUGCUGAAAGAGGAGGCCUUUGUAAGCGUGCUCUGCCCAGGGGAGGGCUUUCUUUUGCAGGACACCAGUGAAACACCAUGGGAUACUCGAGUCACAAACGCAGAUCUUUAUUGCCACCGUUGUCUGAGGCAGCUCUUGGCCUCGGUGCCUUGCCGUGGGUGCAGUUACGCAAAGUACUGCAGCCAAAACUGUGCAGACGUGGCAUGGGAGAGGUACCACAGGACAGAGUGCUCCUUGGGAGCCCUGCUUCUCACAUUAGGGGUCUUCUGCCAUGUUGCCUUGAGGACUGUUCUACUGGCAGGAUUUGCAGAGGUCAGCAGGCUGGUGGAACGGUCCCACGAUGGUGACAAGGACCUUCGUAACCAUGAGGCAAGAUGUAAAUAUCCCAGUGAGGCACCAGAUGUGAGAACUGGUACCAGAGGUAUCCCUGGUUGUAAUGAAAAUGGUCAGUACCAGAGUUCUUACCAAGCUGUGUUCAACCUUUUGCCACACGCUGAGAAGCACAGCCCCGAACAUAAGUUCCUUUGCAUGCUGAGUGUGGUAGCUGUAUGCAAACAACUGCAAGAAGCUGGUCUAGAGGGUGCUGUUUUCAAUCGGGAAUCAUCCGAGAAGUGGCCCAAACCAGAGACAUGUGAAAAAACAUCGGAUGACUUGUCUCCAGAGCUGAAGAUUAUGGCAGAAGCAAUGCUGAGGCAUGUGUUGCAGCUGCAAUGUAAUGCACAAGCAAUCACUGUCAUGCAGGAGUCGGGGUCUGGAGAUGGUGCUGUUGUAAAUAAGAAGCCUGUGCGCCUGGCGACAGCCUUCUUUCCUGUCCUUAGCCUUCUGAACCAUUCGUGCUGUCCCAAUAUCAGUGUGUCAUUUAGUGGGACAGCUGCCACUGUCAGGGCAUCACAGCCCAUCCCAAGCGGCCAAGAGAUUUUCCAUUGCUAUGGGCCUCACCGAUGCAGAAUGAGGGUUGCUGAGAGACAGCAGCUUCUCAGUCAGUAUUUCUUUGCGUGCCGCUGCCAGGCGUGCCUUGAUGAGUUAGAGUCUGACGUCAAGAGCGUGGUGUCCAUGAGAAACUCAUUCUGCUGUCCUAGCUGCCAGGCUUCAAUGCAGGGAGAAGACAUGCUUUGUUGUUCAAAUGAAGCUUGUGCAGUCUCAGUCAGCAGAGAGAGCCUGUCACGCCGUUUGCAGGACCUUCAGCAGCAAAUCAAGAAAGCAUUAGAACUGCUAAAAGACAGGAAGGCUGAUCAGGCUAUCAAACUGCUCCUGAAGUGUCAGAUGGAUGCUGGAAACUUCUUGUCUCCAGAACAUUUGCUGAUGGGAGAGAUGGAGGAUCAUCUGGCACAGGUCUAUGCUACUCUUGGGAAGUGGCAGGAAGCAGCCAGACACCUGGAGAAGAGUAUUGAGAUUGUGGAAGUGCAUCACGGGCCAUCAAGUGUAGAAAUAGGUCACGAACUUUUCAAGUUGGCACAAAUCCUCUUCAAUGGAUUUGCAGUUUCUGAAGCUCUGAGCACAAUUCAAAGAGCAGAGGAGAUUUUGUCAGUGCACUGUGGUCCUCAGAGUACUCAGAUCCAGGAACUACAAGAGAUGAAGACCUGUCUCUUAGAGCUUCCCAGAAGCAUCCUUCAGAGGACUUAAUUUCCCUGUCAAAGGAAGCUGCAGUGUGAUCUUUCAUCAAAGCUAAGUUUCAUGUGGGGUGCUACGAGACGUCACCCGCGAGUUCAGACCGUUCAGUGUCAUUGCUCUACCCCCCAGCACUCACUCCUGAGGCAUCCUGCAACCACUAGGUCUAAAGGAUUUGACUGUCACCAAAACUGUUACCCUCGCAAAGAAAAAGCACGUUCCCAGCUGCAGCACAGAUGCUCCAAGUGCAGAAAACCACCCCAGCUCCCACACGUUCACCCCCGGCGGCAAAGAGGUGCCCUAGGAUGCUGCUGGCUCCCAUCCCUCGGUGAGACCCCCCCCCUCGUUUGGUGGGAAUCCCACCUUUUACCACCUGCAGAAGAACCUUUCUUCCCGUAUCCCAGGUGCU
This is an RNA transcript of Calidris pugnax (ruff), 2894 nucleotides long. It is a transcript of the gene named SET and MYND domain containing 4, with no coding region annotated. The transcript has 11 exons. The record is from RefSeq and is a predicted model, not a curated record. Lineage: Eukaryota; Metazoa; Chordata; Aves; Charadriiformes; Scolopacidae.